GACGAACGCUUGCGGCGUGCUUAACACAUGCAAGUCGAACGGAAAGGCCCUGCUUUUGUGGGGUGCUCGAGUGGCGAACGGGUGAGUAACACGUGAGUAACCUGCCCUUGACUUUGGGAUAACUUCAGGAAACUGGGGCUAAUACCGGAUAGGAGCUCCUGCUGCAUGGUGGGGGUUGGAAAGUUUCGGCGGUUGGGGAUGGACUCGCGGCUUAUCAGCUUGUUGGUGGGGUAGUGGCUUACCAAGGCUUUGACGGGUAGCCGGCCUGAGAGGGUGACCGGCCACAUUGGGACUGAGAUACGGCCCAGACUCCUACGGGAGGCAGCAGUGGGGAAUAUUGCACAAUGGGCGGAAGCCUGAUGCAGCAACGCCGCGUGCGGGAUGACGGCCUUCGGGUUGUAAACCGCUUUCGCCUGUGACGAAGCGUGAGUGACGGUAAUGGGUAAAGAAGCACCGGCUAACUACGUGCCUGCAGCCGCGGUGAUACGUAGGGUGCGAGCGUUGUCCGGAUUUAUUGGGCGUAAAGGGCUCGUAGGUGGUUGAUCGCGUCGGAAGUGUAAUCUUGGGGCUUAACCCUGAGCGUGCUUUCGAUACGGGUUGACUUGAGGAAGGUAGGGGAGAAUGGAAUUCCUGGUGGAGCGGUGGAAUGCGCAGAUAUCAGGAGGAACACCAGUGGCGAAGGCGGUUCUCUGGGCCUUUCCUGACGCUGAGGAGCGAAAGCGUGGGGAGCGAACAGGCUUAGAUACCCUGGUAGUCCACGCUGUAAACGGUGGGUACUAGGUGUGGGGUCCAUUCCACGGGUUCCGUGCCGUAGCUAACGCUUUAAGUACCCCGCCUGGGGAGUACGGCCGCAAGGCUAAAACUCAAAGGAAUUGACGGGGCCCCGCACAAGCGGCGGAGCAUGCGGAUUAAUUCGAUGCAACGCGUAGAACCUUACCUGGGUUUGACAUGGAUCGGGAGUGCUCAGAGAUGGGUGUGCCUCUUUUGGGGUCGGUUCACAGGUGGUGCAUGGCUGUCGUCAGCUCGUGUCGUGAGAUGUUGGGUUAAGUCCCGCAACGAGCGCAACCCUUGUUCACUGUUGCCAGCACGUUAUGGUGGGGACUCAGUGGAGACCGCCGGGGUCAACUCGGAGGAAGGUGGGGAUGACGUCAAGUCAUCAUGCCCCUUAUGUCCAGGGCUUCACGCAUGCUACAAUGGCUGGUACAGAGAGUGGCGAGCCUGUGAGGGUGAGCGAAUCUCGGAAAGCCGGUCUCAGUUCGGAUUGGGGUCUGCAACCCGACCUCAUGAAGUCGGAGUCGCUAGUAAUCGCAGAUCAGCAACGCUGCGGUGAAUACGUUCCCGGGGCU
Molecule: ribosomal RNA, 1346 nt
Filed under: uncultured bacterium
Lineage: Bacteria
Description: partial 16S ribosomal RNA
Rfam family: Bacterial small subunit ribosomal RNA
Source: RNAcentral